RNAcentral lists this long non-coding RNA (1032 nucleotides) under Anser brachyrhynchus (Pink-footed goose). RNAcentral describes it as "lncRNA (ENSABRG00000004544.1)". Lineage: Eukaryota; Metazoa; Chordata; Aves; Anseriformes; Anatidae. The record is from RNAcentral.
AUGGCCAGUGAGGCCGAGGAUGUCACCUGCCCUGUGUGCCAGGGGAUCCCAAAGGAGCCCAGCUACCUCAGCCCCUGUCAGCACCACUUCUGCUUCGGCUGCAUCAUGCGCUGGGCCAACAGAAAUGCCACCUGCCCCCUCUGCAGGCAGGACAUCACCUCCAUCCGAUACUCCAUCUGGUCGGAAGACGACUUUCUGGAGGUCCAGGUUGCCCGCCGCGCAGAGGCCCAAGAUGACAGCCCCCAGGACGAGCAGGGGGCUGCAGAGCUGGUGCCCCAGACUGCCGUGAGCGGCCUCCUGCCUGAGGAAUGGGCAGCCCUCUUCAGGGAACACCUGGAAAUCCUCGGUCCGCUGCGGCCCUGGGUACACCAGCAAGCCAGGGAGUUGUUCGGGGCUGCCUGGUGGGAUCAGGACAUGCUGGAGGCCAGCAUCAUCGCUUGGCUCUGCCGCUGUGGGCUAGAUGAGCAGGCCUUGGUUUGGGAGCUGCAGCCGUUGCUGCAGAGCCACACGGUGAGCUUUGUGCAGCAGCUCGUUGACACCAUGGUGGAGAUGUGCAGCGACGAGUUCCUCGAGGAACUGGGGCUCCUGGAACCCCCUCCUGCCAGCCAGCAGCAGAACGGCCCUGAAGUGGACCUCGAGGGCUCCCAAGACACCUGGGAGCCAGAAGACAGUCCUGCAGCCACCCACAGCCCUGCUGCCUUCCCCUGGGACACUCCUAUCACCAUCCUGCUCUCCUCCAGCAGCCCAGAGGGUUCUGACAUCGAGGAGCUCCCCAGCACCUCCAGUGCCACCCUGAGUGGGGGUCCUGGCCACGUGCCCACUGCACCUAUCCGCGGGGAGCAGGAGGAGCCUUUCACAGAGCCAGGACAGGCGGCAGCAGAAGAGGCCGCGGUGCAGGGCUGCAGCCACAGGCCCUCUCCUCCUGGCCGGGGCAGGGACAGCUCACCUGGGGGGCCCCGGCGACCCCCGAAGAGGAGGGCCGACAGCAACCCGGACUCUCCCCAGCCCUGCAAGAGGCCCCGGCGCCUUUAG